CUAAGGAUAUAACGGAACCGUCACAGUUGUUUUACUUUGCUCAGUUUUGAGAGGUCUAAUCUUCUCAAACAGUAAGUUAGUUGUUCUUUGAAAACUGGAUAGUGUUUAACAUGUAAGAAAAGCAAGAAACCAAGAAAACAUCGCGUUUUAUUUUUUAAUGUAUUUCUUCACCAUGAGGUGAAUGAAGUAGUUAACAUGACCAUA
This 204-nucleotide unclassified non-coding RNA is filed under the name Carnobacterium funditum. RNAcentral describes it as "small 16S-23S rRNA intergenic spacer". Lineage: Bacteria; Bacillati; Bacillota; Bacilli; Lactobacillales; Carnobacteriaceae. The record is from RNAcentral.